UCGACCUGAGGUCAGGCAAGAACACCUCGCUGAACUUAAGCAUAUCAAUAAGCGGAGAGAAAGAAACUAACUAGGAUUCCCUUAGUAAUCGCGAGCGAACCGGGAUGAGCCUAACUUGUAAAUCAUUAGCCCUUGGCUAAUUGAAAUUGUAGUCUCAAGAUGCGAUCUCUGCAGGCAGCAAUGCUCAAUUUUUCUUU
RNAcentral lists this ribosomal RNA (197 nucleotides) under Trebouxia sp. P-304-Ia. RNAcentral describes it as "partial 26S ribosomal RNA". It matches the Rfam family "Eukaryotic large subunit ribosomal RNA", at positions 1 to 193 of the family's 3401-position model. The record is from RNAcentral. Lineage: Eukaryota; Viridiplantae; Chlorophyta; Trebouxiophyceae; Trebouxiales; Trebouxiaceae.